GAUGAGCGCUGGCGGCGUGCCUAAUACAUGCAAGUCGAGCGAAUGGAUUAAGAGCUUGCUCUUAUGAAGUUAGCGGCGGACGGGUGAGUAACACGUGGGUAACCUGCCCAUAAGACUGGGAUAACUCCGGGAAACCGGGUCUAAUACCGGAUAACAUUUUGAACCGCAUGGUUCGAAAUUGAAAGGCGGCUUCGGCUGUCACUUAUGGAUGGACCCGGGUCGCAUUAGCUAGUUGGUGAGGUAACGGCUCACCAAGGCAACGAUGCGUAGCCGACCUGAGAGGGUGAUCGGCCACACUGGGACUGAGGCACGGCCCAGACUCCUACGGGAGGCAGCAGUAGGGAAUCUUCCGCAAUGGACGAAAGUCUGACGGAGCAACGCCGCGUGAGUGAUGAAGGCUUUCGGGUCGUAAAACUCUGUUGUUAGGGAAGAACAAGUGCUAGUUGAAUAAGCUGGCACCUUGACGGUACCUAACCAGAAAGCCACGGCUAACUACGUGCCAGCCGCCGCAGUAA
This 515-nucleotide ribosomal RNA is filed under the name uncultured bacterium. Its description in RNAcentral is "partial 16S ribosomal RNA". It matches the Rfam family "Bacterial small subunit ribosomal RNA", at positions 28 to 523 of the family's 1533-position model. The record is from RNAcentral.